AAUACAUUGUGUUGUGAUGUUGUAGCAUUCUUAACUUUGCAUUUCUCUCAUAGUUAAUGUUGGCACUGAGCAGUCGACAUGUCAAGAACAAUGUGUUUACUUCUUGUUGUUACACUGUUCUUUGAAAAAAUUCAGACGAAGAUAGAUACACUCGACAAAAAAACAAUUGAUGGCAUGAUUUUGAAAAUGCUUUGGGAGAAAGUGUUCGGCCAGUAUGAUGCUAAGUCAAAAGAAUUAGCCAUAAAGAAAAUACGUAAUGGAGGCGACUACGACACACUAGUUAAACACCUUACGAAAGUACAAAAGGAUAAAGCGAAAAAAAUUAUUAAUUUGGUAGCCGAAGUUAUGUUAGUGUACAUGAGCUGAAUAAAAAGUUAAAAAAUCAC
Molecule: long non-coding RNA, 386 nt
Organism: Pieris napi
Lineage: Eukaryota; Metazoa; Arthropoda; Insecta; Lepidoptera; Pieridae
Exons: 2
Source: RefSeq, a predicted model, not a curated record